AUUUUCGAGUGAAGGACCCGGAGCCGAAACACCGGUAGGAGCGGGGAGGUGGGUACUACACAACCGUCUCCAGCCUUGGUCUGAGUGGACUGUCCUGCAGCGACCAUGCCCCGUAAAGGCACCCAGCCCUCCACUGCCCGGCGCAGAGAGGAAGGGCCGCCGCCGUCCCCUGACGGCGCCAGCAGCGACGCGGAGCCUGAGCCGCCGUCCGGCCGCACGGAGAGCCCAGCCACCGCCGCAGAGACUGCAAGUGAGGAACUUGAUAAUAGAAGUUUAGAAGAGAUUUUGAAUAGCAUUCCUCCUCCCCCGCCUCCAGCAAUGACCAAUGAAGCUGGAGCUCCUCGGCUUAUGAUAACUCAUAUUGUAAACCAGAACUUCAAAUCCUAUGCUGGGGAGAAAAUUCUGGGACCUUUCCAUAAGCGCUUUUCCUGUAUUAUCGGGCCAAAUGGCAGUGGCAAAUCCAAUGUUAUUGAUUCUAUGCUUUUUGUGUUUGGCUAUCGAGCACAAAAAAUAAGAUCUAAAAAACUCUCAGUAUUAAUACAUAAUUCUGAUGAACACAAGGACAUUCAGAGUUGUACAGUAGAAGUUCAUUUUCAAAAGAUAAUUGAUAAGGAAGGGGAUGAUUAUGAAGUCAUUCCUAACAGUAAUUUCUAUGUAUCCAGAACGGCCUACAGAGAUAAUACUUCUGUCUAUCACAUAAGUGGAAAGAAAAAGACAUUUAAGGAUGUCGGAAAUCUUCUUCGAAGCCAUGGAAUUGACUUGGACCAUAAUAGAUUUUUAAUUUUACAGGGUGAAGUUGAACAAAUUGCUAUGAUGAAACCAAAAGGCCAGACUGAACAUGAUGAGGGUAUGCUUGAAUAUUUAGAAGAUAUAAUUGGUUGUGGACGGCUAAAUGAACCUAUUAAAGUCUUGUGUCGGAGAGUUGAAAUAUUAAAUGAACACAGAGGAGAGAAGUUAAACAGGGUAAAGAUGGUGGAAAAGGAAAAGGAUGCCUUAGAAGGAGAGAAAAACAUAGCUAUCGAAUUUCUUACCUUGGAAAAUGAAAUAUUUAGAAAAAAGAAUCAUGUUUGUCAAUAUUAUAUGUAAGUGCCUUGAUUGAUAUUAUCAAUUUUUAUAUUAGUUUUUAACCGUUAAGUCAAAGCCCUUCUCUUUUCCUAGAGAAACAUGAAGACUGAAGUGAAAAAAAAAUCUCUAAACAUUGUUUUGUGUGACUGGAUGUGUUAGCUCAUGCCUGUAAUUCCAGCACUUUGGGAGGCUAAGGCAGGAGGAUCACUUGAGGCUGGGAGUUCAAGACCAGCCUGGGCAACAUAGCAAGACCCCAUCUCUACAAAAAAAGAAAUUAUGUGGUGAAUUUAUCCAAUGUGAGGACUAUCUGGCUGUGACACCUGUCACCCCGUUGAUCACCAGGGUUGAAUUUAUUAAAUUAGGCAUAUUUGUCAAUUCAUUGAAGUUGACUUUUUAGUAUCCUGCUUUAAGUUGGGAGUUAUGAGUUGCAGAAACGAAUUGCUGAAAUGGAAACUCAAAAGGAAAAAAUUCAUGAAGACACCAAAGAAAUUAAUGAGAAGAGCAAUAUACUAUCAAAUGAAAUGAAAGCUAAGAAUAAAGAUGUAAAAGAUAUAGAAAAGAAACUGAAUAAAAUUAAAAAAUUUAUUGAGGAGAAUAAAGAAAAAUUUACACAGCUAGAUUUGGAAGAUGUUCAAGUUAGAGAAAAAUUAAAACAUGCAACGAGUAAAGCCAAAAAACUGGAGAAACAACUUC
This 1758-nucleotide small RNA is filed under the name Pongo abelii (Sumatran orangutan). Its description in RNAcentral is "retained intron". Lineage: Eukaryota; Metazoa; Chordata; Mammalia; Primates; Hominidae. The record is from RNAcentral.